Arvicola amphibius (Eurasian water vole) is the source of this 1467-nucleotide long non-coding RNA. RefSeq lists it as uncharacterized. NCBI's taxonomy places the organism in Eukaryota, Metazoa, Chordata, Mammalia, Rodentia, Cricetidae. The record is from RefSeq and is a predicted model, not a curated record. The transcript has 2 exons.
GUGUAGAAACAAGUUUUGUUGUUAUUGUUGUUGUUGAGACAGAGUCUCACUAUGUAACCCUUGGCUUGUCUGGAACUCACUUUGUAGACCAGGCUGGCCUCAAACUCAGAUCCACUAAAACCUGGCCUUCACUGCAUAGGAGAGAGUUGUGGGAGAAUUUCCCAGAGGGAAGCAACCUGGAUUUUGGACUUUAGGUCCUUGAACUGGGAGAUAAGCUAUUUCUGUCAACCUCAGCCAGUUGAUGGCUGUUUUUAGGAUGUCUCCUAGUUACUUAUACUAGUGUACAAAGGUAUUCAUUGGCAGCUUGACUAAAAGAUUUGGAAGUUAUUUUUUUUCCCCUCUCAGGAACUGGUGCAAUGUCUCAGCAGUUAAGAGUGCUGGCCACUCUAGCUGAAGACUCAGGUUUGGUUUAUAGCACCCAUUCAUGGUGGCUCACAACCACCUGAAACUCCAGUUCCAGAGGAUCCAUCUGGUGCCUAUUGGCUUUAGCAGACUUACGCAGAUCUGUCUGCAAGACCUGGGAUUUGAAGACCUGAAAGCAUCAGGUGGACUACAGUCUAAUGCUGUAUACCACUUUCCUUCAGUGUACUUUUUUCUUUUAUUGUUUUUUUCUCUGUGUAGCUUUGGUGCCUCUCCUGGAACUCACUCUGUAGAUCAGGCUGACCUUGAACUCACAGAGAUCUGCCUACCUCUGCCUCCCGAGUGCUGGGAUUAAAGGCAUGUGCCACCAUUGCCCAGCUCAGUGUACUUUUAUACAUGAAAAAUGACUAGGAAAGCAAUGAUCCAAGGAAGGCUGUUUGAGUUCAGAAACACAUGAUCAGAAAAGCAUGUCAGUACUAUUAUUAAAUAUGAAAGCACGUAUUUAAUAUUAAUAGAAGAGCCCUUUCCCAGAACUUUCUCAGGACAGAUCAAUUUGAACACAACUGCCUGGCACAUACUAUAGGUUUUAUCUGGGGAAGCAUGAAUGUAAGGUAGAAGGUCAUAUCUAAAUUCAGGGUACACUGACCAGAUUGGAGAAUAAACAUGUCUUAUAAAUUGAAUGUUUAAUGUUUAACACAGGAGGCACGAAAUCAUGCUCAAGAACAAUCCAGGGAGCAAAAUGUACUUGAAGUCAAAGGUCCUCUGCCUUUUGUCCUGGAGCCUCUCUCACAGGUCCCCAAGCAGUUUCUAAACCGCUUCAGUGACGGCCAUUCCAGGCAAGGAACACUGAGGACGCUGAAACCUGGGAUGAAGUCACUGGGGAUUGAGACAUUCACACGGAGGAUCGCCUUACCCUGGGAAGAUCUGGAGAGUGCCAGGUGCCAUGAACAGUGGUGAAAGCUGACACCGUACAAAUUUUAUCUGUCACCAUGCUGCCUGGCAAGAGAGCUGGCAGGAGAAGCAAGAGCAGCUGACGCUGGGUGCAAUCCUAGUGAGACCCUGACAGAAAAAAUAAAAAAGUAAUAAAAUUGUAAGAAACAAACCAAA